Molecule: long non-coding RNA, 546 nt
Filed under: Parus major (Great Tit)
Lineage: Eukaryota; Metazoa; Chordata; Aves; Passeriformes; Paridae
Description: lncRNA (ENSPMJG00000011609.1)
Source: RNAcentral
AUUACGUUUCUUCUUCAAACUUCUUUUUCCAUGCUAUUGUUAUCUGCAGGUGAUUUGGAGUACUUGGAGGAUUUCCUGUCAACCUAGCCAUGAAGUUUUCUCAAAGGAGGUAAAGAAAUCCCACAGAGAUUUUUUUGCUGGACUAGCAAUUUCAGAGAAAGAAUUGCACUAGAAAAGAGAAUAGGAUGUUGUUAAACGUUGAGGAAGCAAGACUGAGCCUAUUCAGCCCUGGAAGUAUUUCCAUUUUUUCUUUGAUAUCCCCAUUUUCUUGACUGAAUGCCUGAGAACAUAACUGUACACAUACUGUUGUUUCUGGAUGCUGAUGACCUUCAACAGCUAUCAAAACUAUGCAAAACUUCCAGCAGGACUAAUACUGCAAAUAAAUGCCAGCAGAGAAACUGCCUUCAGCAUGAAGAGCAGUAGUGUUGGCUUAAGCACAGACGGACCUCCAAAGACUCUCCAAAAACAACUUUCAACCAUUUGGUUUUAAAUUAAAAGAAGCAACAGAAUGUAUUUAAAAACUGAAUGUGAAAUUGUCAAUACAAU